GAUGAACGCUGGCGGCGUGCCUAAUACAUGCAAGUCGAGCGAACGGACGAUAAGCUUGCUUUUCUGAUGUUAGCGGCGGACGGGUGAGUAACACGUGGAUCACCUACCUAUAUUACUGGGAUAACUUCGGAAAACCGGAGCUAAUACCGGAGAAUAUUUUGAACCGCAUGGUUCAAUAGUGAAAGACGGUCUUGCUGUCACUUAUAGCUGGAUCCGCGCUGCAUUAGCUAGUUGGUAAGGUAACGGCUUACCAAGGCAACGAUGCAUAGCCGACCUGAGAGGGUGAUCGGCCACACUGGAACUGAGACACGGUCCAGACUCCUACGGGAGGCAGCAGUAGGGAAUCUUACGCAAUGGGCGAAAGCCUGACGGAGCAACGCCGCGUGAGUGAUGAAGGUCCUCGGAUCGUAAAACUCUGUUAUUAGGGAAGAACAUAUGUGUAAGUAACUGUGCCCAUCUUGACGGUACCUAAUCAGAAAGCAACGGCUAACUACGUG
This 497-nucleotide ribosomal RNA is filed under the name uncultured bacterium. RNAcentral's name for it is "partial 16S ribosomal RNA". It matches the Rfam family "Bacterial small subunit ribosomal RNA", at positions 28 to 507 of the family's 1533-position model. The record is from RNAcentral.